GCCAAGCAGUAUGUCUGGUGAGGGGCCUGGAGCACAAGUCCUGUGAGGAGUGUCUGGGGGAACUGGUGUUGUUUAGUCUAGAGGCUCAGGGGAGACCUUAUGGCUCUUUACAGCUGCCUGAAAGAAAGGUGUGGGAACUGGGGGUCAGCCUCUUCUCACAGGUAACUAGCAAUAAGACCAGAGGGAAUGGCCUCAAGUUGUGCCAGCGGAGGUUCAGGUUGGAAAUGAGGAGACAUUUCUUCUCAGAAAGAGCAGUCAGGCAUUGGAACGGGUUGCCCAGGGAGGUGGUGGCAUCACUGC
Molecule: long non-coding RNA, 300 nt
Organism: Cygnus olor (mute swan)
Lineage: Eukaryota; Metazoa; Chordata; Aves; Anseriformes; Anatidae
Exons: 3
Source: RefSeq, a predicted model, not a curated record